CAUUAGAUAGCUUAAAGUAAGUAAUGGUCUCUUAAACCAUAAUAUAGUAAAUUAACAAAUACUUCUAAUGAAACCCACUACG
Molecule: transfer RNA, 82 nt
Filed under: Psychodopygus squamiventris maripaensis
Lineage: Eukaryota; Metazoa; Arthropoda; Insecta; Diptera; Psychodidae
Description: tRNA-Lys
Source: RNAcentral